Molecule: long non-coding RNA, 297 nt
Filed under: Pan troglodytes (chimpanzee)
Lineage: Eukaryota; Metazoa; Chordata; Mammalia; Primates; Hominidae
Description: long non-coding RNA NONPTRT007934
Source: RNAcentral
UAGGAGUGAAUAAUUUAAAGGGGCCGCGCCUGCGGAGCCGGGCGGAACGCUAGCGGUGUUGGCGCGGAGUGGACCCCGGCUGCGGCCCCUGGGUGUUUCCACACCGGUAGCCAGCUGUGCCCUGAGGUGGAAGAGGACCGGCCACCCAGGAAUUUUCCAAGUAACGACUCGCAGUCUCCGGGAUUCCUAUCUCCCGGCCCCCGAAUCUCCAUUAAUAUUCUAGCGAUGUCAGAAACAUCCUCAGCUUCCCAGAAAAAUACCAGUAAUAUUCCAGCAUCUCUCAGUAUCUUCCAAGGA